GAAUAAAUAGUGAGGGUCAGCUCGCUAGGUAGACUCAGUCACAAACUUGUCUUACCAGAUAAAGUGUUGCAGAUUAAACUAUUUUACCCCCCUGGGAGCAGGUCUCUGUGGCCGUAGGAGUGUAUAGGAAAACCAUCAGCCGAUGUGUCAAGUGGAAGGGAAAACUGAAGUCGAAGGAUUCGUGGCUUUUCACAUACAAAGGCAUCCUCCCAUCCCUCCUGGCCAGCCAGCGAAGGAUGGACAAGUGCACCUGGAGGCUACUGCCCAGGUGCAAGGGGUGGGUGUGGGGCAAGCUGCAGAAUGCCCCAGAACAAAGACACCUCCAGGGGCCUCCUCGGAGGUCACCCGCUGCCUCCAGGGCAGAUUAAGGAGGACUGGAGAUGGCGCUUGGAGGAAAUGGUGCUGUUCUUUGGGAAAUCAAUUCGUCCCACCCUUAAUAGGGUGUUUUGCCCUCCCUCUUUGGGAGUUCCAGGCAAUGGGCUUCCAGGUCUCUACGGUUCUGAAAGAGGCGGCCCCUUUGCCAGCCCAUGUUCCUUCAAACAGCCCAGGCCCCACAAGAAUCUCUUCUGCUCUCUGCCACGUUUCCUUUCCCUUUUCUCCCUCUUUCAGGCUCUCCCGCCCCUCUCUAUACCCAAGCUCCUUUCAUAAUGAGGCUGGAAGUGGAACUUUCCCCCACUCCCUUACUUUGAGAUUUCUUUUUUCCCAGUGACCUGGGCUGCACUUUACCCCCACUCCCUGCCUGCCAAUCUCCUCAGGGUUAGGGCCUUUCUCUAUCCAUUCUUUCAGGUUCCCCCUCCUUGAGAGCUCCAGGAGGCCAGGCCUUCCAGAAUCUGAUCUCCUUCCAACACUGCAGCCCCCCUGAGGAGGAAGGAAGAAGCCUCCUCCGAAUGAAUGGCCGGAAGGAGAAGACCCCAGCCUAUCCCCGGGAGUUUGCUGACACCCAUGGGGUCCAUCAGAAAGCAGUUCAGGAUGCCUGGCAAAAGGAACAUGACGAGACAUCUCAAUACAAUGUCCCACACUGGCUAAGAAAUGUGAAAACAGCUAAAGAAGAAAUAAAGCAAAAGAGAAAAACAAGGAAAAGAGGAUAGAAAAGAAGCAAAGCCAUCUCAGAGAAGACAUCUCUAGAAGGCCUGUUAUACUGUAAGGGAGGCAUCCUGAUGUCUGGCUGAAGUCUCUCCUUCUGCAAAAUUGUCUUGGGCUUCCCAGGUGGCUCAGUGGUAAAGAAUCCACCUACUAAUGCAGGAGACGCUAGUUUGAUCCCUGGGUUGGGAAGAUCCCCUGGAGAAGGAAAUGACAAUCUACUCCAGUACUCUUGCUUGGGAAAUCCCAUGGACAGAGGAGCCUGGUGGGUUACGAAAGUCGGACAUGACUGAGCAGCUAAACAACAACAACAUUGCAUUGUUUUCCUUUGUUUCAAGAUUUAUAGCAUAUAAGCAGCUCUUAGAGUGGUAACUAUUGUUAUUAUUUUAUUAAUCAUUAUGUAGAUCAUUAUUUCAUUAAUUACUUCCCUAUUUGAACUCUGCCUUGUUCUCCCCCUCCCCAAAUAUACGGUGGCUAGUAAGGGAUCAUAAAAUACAGCAGAAUACACACAAAGAGCAAGAAAAGAUGGCCAAAACACAAGACGCACACUGCAGGACAGUGCAUACUUUGUGAACCAUUUCUAAAAUGUAUACAAAAUACAAAUCUCAUAUAAUUCUAUAAUUAAUUUAUUAAGAUAAAAAAUAAAAAACUGAACUAAACUUAAGAUAUAGGAUACUGCUAGAUUUGGGGGGAAGGAAAUAGUCCUAGAGUAGAAGGAUGGUGGGCUUUUCUACUUUCUGUGUAAUGUUUCAGUGACUUGAAGUAAAUAGAACAAAAUAUUAACAACUGUCAAUUUUGUGUGGCAGGUACUAGAUAUUGCACUACUUUAUGGACUUUAGAUUUGGAAGAAGAUCUCAGAGUUGUAUUUACUUGCUCAAGUGAGCCAUGAGUUGAUCUCUAAGCUCUCUAAAGGGCAAUAUAAGGAAAGGAGCCAGGUCAGUUCUACAAUUGAUGGUAUCGUGAGUAUCCCGAGGUGAAAAUAUAUCCAGGCUUUGGGAGAGCCCAGAACCUGGUACUGAGAACUCUAGAAGCUAUGCUUAUUCCACAGUGGCUAGUGGGUGGUGGUUUCAGCAGGGGUUUGGGAGUCUGAGAGCUUGUGUGUGUGUGUGUUUCUGGGUGUGUGAUUAGAAGAGGGAGCGAUUGGUCACACAUCUACAGACAUGUAGCUCUUCACCUGAAUUGUCUGUUCUAAAGACUCAGGUGAGAGUCACCUCAGCCCUGAAGAUGGGAGUGCUCAGGGACAAGCUCCUCGUGGUGGCCUUGCCACCAGCCAAUGACUCAGUAUUUUCAAACGGCAUCACAGCAAAGCCCAGUUCAUAAAGCUUUGAGGAGCCCCCACUACUAUUGGGCAGGCCCCAGCUCUCUGCCUAUCAGACCUGGGGUUUUCAAGCCCUUGGAAGACUAAAGGGGCCGUCCAUCCUUAAAGCAAAGAAAUGCAAGCUACUCCUGCCCUUGGCCAAAGCUGUGACCAACACAGGGAGGAGGUGAGGUAGAGAUGGUGCUGCCCACAGGAGCCUGGGAAGGUCACCAAUGUCUUCUUCCCCUUGUGAGGGACCAGUAGUCAGCUGGGUGCAGAGGAGCUGGGAACUCGCCUCUCUAGAGGGCCACCCCUCCUCCUCUGGAGGGGAGCCCAGGUGACUCACCGUUGUGCCAGGUUUUUCCUCAGAAAGCAUUCGAAAUUGGCUCCAGCACCCAAAUGCGCAGCGAUGCAGCACCUAGGGUCAACUCCAGGAGGUGUGCCCG
Bos taurus (domestic cattle) is the source of this 2823-nucleotide long non-coding RNA. Lineage: Eukaryota; Metazoa; Chordata; Mammalia; Artiodactyla; Bovidae. The record is from Ensembl.